RNAcentral lists this ribosomal RNA (406 nucleotides) under uncultured bacterium. RNAcentral's name for it is "bacterial SSU rRNA". It matches the Rfam family "Bacterial small subunit ribosomal RNA", at positions 30 to 433 of the family's 1533-position model. The record is from RNAcentral.
AUUGAACGCUGGCGGCAUGCCUUACACAUGCAAGUCGAACGGCAGCACGGGAGCAAUCCUGGUGGCGAGUGGCGAACGGGGUGAGUAAUAUAUCGGAACGUGCCCAGUCUGGGGGAUAACGUAGCGAAAGCUACGCUAAUACCGCAUACGAUCUAUGGAUGAAAGCGGGGGAUCGCAAGACCUCGUGCGAUUGGAGCGGCCGAUAUCAGAUUAGGUAGUUGGUGGGGUAAAGGGCUCACCAAGCCAACGAUCUGUAGCUGGUCUGAGAGGACGACCAGCCACACUGGAACUGAGACACGGUCCAGACUCCUACGGGAGGCAGCAGUGGGGAAUUUUUGGGACAAUGGACGCAAGUCUGAUCCAGCCAUUCCGCGUGCAGGAUGAAGGCCCUCGGGUUGUAAACUGC